GUAACUGUGGAAAGAUGCCCCAAUAUGAGGACAUUCUCUGCUGGAGUGUUGAGCACACCAAAGCUGCAGUGUGUACAAUUGAGAGAAAUUCAUUUUCAGAAAUGGCUUUGGGAGGGCGACCUUAAUACCACCAUACGGCAGUUGUAUACGGAAAUGGAUGGAUUUAAUGGCAUUAAGAAAUUUAUACUCUCUAAAUUUCCCCACAUAAAGGAAAAAUGGCACACCCAACUUCCUUUGAAGCUCCUAGACGGGUUAAGUGAAUUGGUGGUGGACAAUUGUGAGUAUUUCUCGAAAGCCUUAUCAUCAAAUCAACUCCAGUUCUUGAACCGUUUGGAGGUGCUGAUUGUAGAAAAAUGCAGCUCACUAGAAGGAAUAUUUGAUUUGGAAGGGAUGAAUGC
Molecule: unclassified non-coding RNA, 398 nt
Filed under: Hevea brasiliensis (rubber tree)
Lineage: Eukaryota; Viridiplantae; Streptophyta; Magnoliopsida; Malpighiales; Euphorbiaceae
Source: RNAcentral